Phoenix dactylifera (date palm) is the source of this 3344-nucleotide non-coding RNA. Lineage: Eukaryota; Viridiplantae; Streptophyta; Magnoliopsida; Arecales; Arecaceae. The record is from RefSeq and is a predicted model, not a curated record.
GAACUGAAUUUUAGCGUUUGUCUGGUGGAGUAAAAAAAUUAUUAUUCAAUUUAAUUCUCCUUAAGCCCGCAACCAAGUGCAGUUAAUGUUUAAAUUUGCACUUCUUUCGCACCAGCCUCGUAAAAACAAACAAUAAAAUUGAUUGAAACUUAGAAUUUAAUGCUGCGAAGCAAAUGCUUUAAACCCUAGCAAAAAAAAAAAAAGGCAAAUGCUUUAAAAAAUUUAACGCAAGCAAAACUAUUUUCCAGGAUGAGUGUGAUACACAUCAGACUUUGAGAUUUGCGUCCGGCAGCGCCUGUGUAUUAUGUCCGAAGCCCUAAUUUCCAGCCCAAUGAAAGCAACUGGUACGCGAAACCCGGUUCCUGAUGCGCGACGAUGCCGCCACCAUUCCCGCCAUCCCGACCCCGACUUCCAAACAUUUGAAUUCCCUGUUCCCCCUCUGCCACUCUCUCCGCCUCCUCCGGCAGCUCCACGCUCGGAUCCUCCUCCAUGGCCUUCACCUCUCCGCCUUCUUCGGCUCCCGCCUCGCCCACGCCUACUUCGCCGCUGGCUCCCCGCAGGACGCCCGCCGGGCAUUCGACCAAAUCCUCGCCAAAACCCCCCACGCCUGGAACACUGUGCUCUCCGGUUACUUCAAAACCCGCAGCCUCUCCGAAGUACUGCAGCUCUACAAGCUCUCUCGCGUCGAGGGUAGCAGACCGGACAGCUUCUGUUUGGCCUUUGCUGUCCGGGCUUGCGCGGGACUCUCUCUUCUCGAACUGGGGAGGUCAAUUCACUUGGAAUCCAUACGAUCAGGUCUGGAGACGGAUGAAUUCGUCUCCCCUCCUCUCAUCGAUAUGUACCUCGAAUUCGGUUCUUUGGAAGACGCCGAGAAAGUCUUUGAUCGAGUUCCUGUUGCGAUUUCCCCUGUUUGGGGUCUCAUGAUGAAAGGGUACUUGAGGGAGUCCAUGGAAGUUCAGGUGUUUGGUUUAUUUGAUAGGAUGAAGGAGUUGGGAAUCGGAUUAGACCCUUGUUCGGCAGUCUGUCUGGCUCGGGCUUGCGGAAAUGUUGGCGCUGCUAAAGAGGGACGAAUGAUUCAUGGCCUCUGCAUAAAAAAGAACGUUUUGGAUUCUAAUAUCUAUCUGCAGACCUCACUGGUCGAUAUGUACGGGAAGAGUGGUUUCAUGGAUUUUGCACGGAGAUUGUUUGAUGAAAUGCCUCACAAGGAUGUCGUGUCUUGGAGCUCAAUGAUUGCUGGUCUGGCUCAAUGUGGGAGAGCACAUGAGUCGCUGUUGGUUUUUCAAGACAUGCUGGGAAACUCGAUAGCGCCGAAUGAGGUCACUCUUGCCAGCGUUCUUUUGGCUUGCUCGCACUUGGGAGCCCUGCAGCAAGGGAAGAGUGUCCAUGCAUACAUGGUCAGAAAUGAGGUUGAAUUGGAUGUUGUGACUAACACAGCUCUCCUCGACAUGUUUGCUAAAUGUGGAUCUAUGGACUUGGCGUACGAGGUGUUUAAUGCAAUGCCCGAAAGGAAUGUCUUUGCUUGGAGUGCGAUGAUUGGAGGGUUUGGCAUGCAUGGAAUGUGCGAGAGGGCGCUUGCUCUUUUUGAUGAAAUGAGGUCUGAGAAUCUUGCGCCCAAUUCUGUAACAUUUGUCUCAGUGCUAUCUGCAUGCAGCCAUUCAGGUAAGGUCCAAGAAGGGCGGUUCUACUUCGAGUCCAUGUGUAAGGACUAUAAAAUUACUCCAAAGAAUGAGCAUUACUCAUGUAUGGUUGAUCUCUUAGGCCGAGCAGGGCUAAUCGAGGAAGCUGAAUCGUUGAUCAAGGAAAUGCCGCAGGAGCCUAGUGCUAGUGUGUGGGGAGCUCUACUGGGUGCCUGUAGAAUUCAUAAACGGGUGGAAUUAACUGAGCAAGUGGCUAACAAACUCUUUGUUUUGGAGCCUGAUCUGCCAGGUACCCAUAUAUUGCUUUCAAAUAUCUAUGCUGCAGCUGAGAUGUGGGAUAUGGUGAGGAAGACAAGAGAGAUGAUGAAUGAGAGGGGAUUACAGAAAACAGUUGGUUUCAGCACAAUUGAAGUUGAUAAAAGGGUUUAUUUAUUUAAUGCGCUGAAUGGAAGGGACCACCGGCGUACAAGGAUUAUAGAGCUUUGGCAUGCGCUAAGUAAUGAAAUGAAAGAACUAGGUUAUGUACCAGAUUUAUCCUUUAUACUUCAUGACGUGGAGGCAAAAGAGGGGAUGCUUUGUGGUCAUAGCGAAAAGAUGGCAAUAGCUUUUGGGCUUCUGAAAACUAGAGAUGGGAUGCCACUGAGGAUAACAAAAAACUUGAGAGUUUGUGGAGAUUGCCACACUGCAAGUAAGUUUGUGUCUUUGAUUACAAAGAGAGAGAUAAUAAUGAGAGAUUCGAAGAGAUUUCAUCAUGUUAAAGAUGGUGUCUGCUCAUGCGGAGACUAUUGGUGAUAAAUUUCAACCCCUUGUAGUUCAUAUAGUUUCCAUUUAACAAAAUGACAUGAAUUCAUUUUUCCUUGGCAUUCUCGUUUGCUAAGUUUUGAUUGUAAUAAUCAGCAAAUGCUUGCAAAUUUUUGUUCCACUAUACUUUCCCAUCUUGUAAUGCACAUAAAACUUGGAAGGAUUGUUUUCCUAAUUGUCUGCUAGUGUGUGUUUAUUGAUAAUAGUUGAGAAUUUGAUGAUUGCAGACUGGACACACUCGGCAAAAGCAGUGUAAAAAUAUCAAAACCUUAGACAGGUUGAGUAAUCUACCUUUUUGCUCCAAAAAUAUGUAUCAAAUUUCGACGACCAAAUUUCUUGAUAACGAUUGUCAUUUCUUAGUUGACUUUGAGGAUCAGAUUGGCAGGAGGAAGGAAGAAACAAGAAACAUGGUAGCAAUCUUGCAAGCACAGCUAAUGCAACUGAAAGCUCAGUUGGCUCAUAGCAUUGCAGGGUCACAAUUGUCAGGUGAUCAGUGGCAAGGGAACAUCGCCGAUCCACUUCUCCAAUCAUACUCAAAUAUGCAGACUAUGUAUCCCAAGAGGUCUUUUGAUUGCGUGGAUUAUAGUUCAGGUGGACUGGCUAUGCAAGAGAUGGGCUCUAAGGAGGAUCUUCCUACCCAGCAUUGCACCAGGAGGAGGGCACCACACAAUGAGUUAGGGGAGCUUCAAGCUUUGGCUCUGAGGAUGAUGGGGAGCUGAUCCUCUUUCGCAUGAUGCGAUAAGAAUUGCUUACUGCUUGAUGUAUAUAAAUCUUAAGUAGUAUAGGGUGGUUUGAAUGUAGAAUCUAAUGUUACAGUUAAAAUAUCUGCCAACCUUCAAAGCUCCUUGUUCUCAACUUUCCAAUAAUAGGUCUAUUAGUUGGCUCGGCAUAAAUGGGGCCUUCAAA